Talpa occidentalis (Iberian mole) is the source of this 846-nucleotide long non-coding RNA. RefSeq lists it as uncharacterized. NCBI's taxonomy places the organism in Eukaryota, Metazoa, Chordata, Mammalia, Eulipotyphla, Talpidae. The transcript has 6 exons. The record is from RefSeq and is a predicted model, not a curated record.
UUUCAUGCCCUUGUUCCUCAGCCCACUUACUGCUCCUUCAACCAUUUCAGGUCAUUUGAAUCUGCUCAGUGUGCUUUGUCAUUUGUGGGACCAUUUCACAUGCCAGCAUCUGAAGAGUGCCAGCCACAUGGAUUCAAUGUUUACUGAAAGAAUCAAGGACCACCUGCUUAAAAGCAUGGAGACAUCCUGGGGAAGUAGGAGAGAGAAGUGUACAGACCAGGGCUCAUGUGUGAGGAGAGGGAGGGUGAGAGAGAGAAUCCAAGCUGAUGGCGCCUCUACCAACUGGAAAUUAACGAGAAGAGUGAACUGAAAGUAAACAUUGACAUUUGCCUGAAUGGAGAAACAAUGCUUUCACCUGCAUUUCAUUGACCAAAUCAAAAUCCACGGAUAUAAACUAAAUUUAAGUGAAUGGGAGAAUCACACAAAAGAAGACAAGAUGAAUGACUGGAAUGCACCCGGAUGGGUUUGAAGAGGAGCCCAGGAGUGAGGGUCACUCCCAAAAGUCUUCCAGGCACAAAUCACACAAAAGAAGAUGAGAUGAAAGACUGGAAUGCACCAGGUGGGUUUGGAGAGGAUCCCAGGAGUGAGGGUCACUCCCAAAAGUCUUCCAGUCACAAGAAGAAGGAGCAGCUCAGUGACUGACUUGGCCAGUAGAGAGGUCAAGCGUGUAACUGGGUUUAAAGGACUCUGGAGCUAUGGACUUUCACUUCUCAACAAUGUGUCAUCUGGGCCGAGAGGGACAUUGACAAAUAUACUGCGGUGCGGUUUCUGGAGGUCGCUUUCUGAGAGAGAUGUUGAAAUAACACGCUUGUGUGUCAGUCACGGGGAGUUGGGCUGGAGCAGUAG